GAUGAACGCUGGCGGCGUGCCUAAUACAUGCAAGUCGAGCGAACAGACGAUGAGCUUGCUCCUCUGACGUUAGGGGAGGACGGGUGAGUCACACGUGGAUCCCCUCCCUAUAUGACUGGGAUCACUUGGGGAAACCGGCGAUAAUACCGGAUAACAUGUUGCACCGCGUGGGUCAACGGUGAAAGACGGUCUUGCUGUAUCUUAUCGCUGGUUCCGGGCCGCUUUGGCUGGUUGGUAAGGUAACAGCUUACCAAGGGUACGCUGCGUGGCCGACCUGAGAGGGGGAACGGCCCCACUGGAACUGAGAGGCGGCCCAGGCUCCGAGGGGAGGCAGCAGUAGGGACGCGGGCGCAAAGGGCGAAAGCCUGACGGAGCGACGCCGCGUGAGUGAAGAAGGGCCUCGGAUCGUAAAACGCUGUUAUGAGUGAAGAACAAAUGUGUAAGUAACGAUGCGCGUCUGGACGUUACCUAAUCAGAAAGCCCCGCCUAACUACGG
This 496-nucleotide ribosomal RNA is filed under the name uncultured bacterium. RNAcentral's name for it is "partial 16S ribosomal RNA". It matches the Rfam family "Bacterial small subunit ribosomal RNA", at positions 28 to 506 of the family's 1533-position model. The record is from RNAcentral.